AAUAGCCGCAAUUCGUGCUAAGGUAGCAUAAUCAUUUGUCUUUUAAAUGAAGACUAGAACAAAAGACUUAACAUUUAAAUUCUUAUUUAUUUUAAUUUAAAUUAAAAUUUUCUUAAAUGUAAUAAGACAUUUAUUAAUAAAAUAGACGAAAAGACCCUAUUAAACUUAACUUUAGUUAAACUGGGGAAGUAAAUUAAUUAUUAUUUUAAUUUUUUUAAUUACAAAAUUAUCUAUAAUUUAUAAUAAAUAAUGUUACUAUAGGGAUAACAGCAUAAUUAUUAUUAAAAGUCCUUAUUUAAAUAAUAGAUUAUGACCUCGAUGUUGAAUUAAUUUUCUAAUAAAAGCAAUAUUUUAAAAAGAAAGUCUGUUCGACUUUUAAAAAAUUACGUGAUCUGAGUUCAGACCGGAGAGAUUUAUAGGGUUUACGACCUCGAUGUUGGAUCAGGACAUCCCGAUGGUGCAGCCGCUAUUAAAGGUUCGUUUGUUCAACGAUUAAAGUCCUACGUGAUCUGAGUUCAAACCGGAGA
This 527-nucleotide ribosomal RNA is filed under the name Myrmaplata plataleoides. RNAcentral's name for it is "partial large subunit ribosomal RNA". The stretch from base 428 to 527 matches the Rfam family "Bacterial large subunit ribosomal RNA", at positions 2523 to 2622 of the family's 2925-position model. Lineage: Eukaryota; Metazoa; Arthropoda; Arachnida; Araneae; Salticidae. The record is from RNAcentral.